This is a long non-coding RNA of Helianthus annuus (common sunflower), 748 nucleotides long. RefSeq lists it as uncharacterized. The transcript has 4 exons. The record is from RefSeq and is a predicted model, not a curated record. NCBI's taxonomy places the organism in Eukaryota, Viridiplantae, Streptophyta, Magnoliopsida, Asterales, Asteraceae.
AAAAACCGAAUUAUUAAAUUUCGAGCAUGUUUUGUUUUACACGAUGUGACAUGGUAACUAAGUUAGUUAACUUAGUUAUAGUUACAAGUUAAAUAUAAGGGAUGGAAAAAUUUGUGACUAACAAUUAACAAAUUACAAGGGUUAAAAGAGGAUAAAUAAGAAAGUGUUUUAUUUAAAGAAAUGAAGUUGUGGCAAGUAUGGAAAUAUGGUGAAUCUUGAGGGGCCAAACUUGGGCAACUUGAAAGAUGAAAUUACAUAAACUUAAAAAAAUAAAACACACACAUUAGAGAGGUGUGUGUGGGCGAUGGAUUGAGCAGGGGAGAAGACAAACCCUAAAAACCACAAAAUUCCCCAAAUUGGAAGAGAAAAAUGAAGGUUUGAUGGAUGCAUGAGCUAUAUUCCCAACCAUCUACACAAGAUAAACACAUGCAUUAGGGAUCAUGUGGAAGUGGACUCAAGCACGAAAGACUAACGGGUCAAGAGGGGACAAGGAAGCCAAUGCGAAAAUGGACGCUCAAGGAAUAGCAGAGAAGUCUCACCGCGGGUCGUAUGAUCAGAUGGAAAGCCGGAAUGUAGUACGAGAUACGAAGGAUCUUCAAGGGAUAGAGAUCAAGGACCGAGUCACAAGACAGAUUGUACGGGAACGUUGGUGUUGAAAUUUAGAAAACCCAUGUCAUGUAUUUAAUUGUAAAUGAGUCGGUUGAUGACUUCAUGUGAAAAAGUUGUGUUAAAAUGAAAUUUUAAAUAA